Molecule: long non-coding RNA, 976 nt
Organism: Salvelinus sp. IW2-2015
Lineage: Eukaryota; Metazoa; Chordata; Actinopteri; Salmoniformes; Salmonidae
Source: RefSeq, a predicted model, not a curated record
AGUAAUACAGUCUAGCCUGCUCAACAAGCUUCAAAAGUCCUGGAAAAUGCCUAUGGAACGACAUCUAGAUGUUAUAUGGGAACAGACAUUAUUGACAGGGAAAGCUGCUGCCGCUGGUCUAUUUGACACAUUUGGGAACUCUAUUUUCUUUUAUUCUUUCUCGCUCUGAGUAAAGACAACGCCUUCUUCCGUCUCCAUCGAAACUUGAAAAGAAAGUCACCUGGGCCAAMCCAGCUGGACAGGGGAGAAAGGAAUAGUCAAAUGGAAGUUGUAUAACAACGCUGAUUAGACUACAAAAAUAUUUUCAUAACUUAUCAUGUACGUCAGUAUUGAUUUAAAUGUUCGUUAUUGAAUAUAGCCUACUGUCUUGAGACUGAUAAAGGGUAAAAGCGUCUCAUAGUUCCGGGUUUGGGGAAAUUAUUCCCGAGUAUUGUAAUAACUUGGGMAACAUGGACAGCAUCGAGUUACAAUGCCCUGUAAGCCUUGACAACAACAAUCACCAUGCUGAAAAUACCUCUAAGCAACAGAUGACUUCAGGUAAUAGACCCAGGCUGACCACCAAUGAUACAGCAGAGGAAGGAAACCCCUUGCUUUCUCCUGAACAGGUUCCUGUCGAUAAUGGCGGCAGCAUCGGUUGAUGGAGAAGAGGUCAACCAAGAGUCGAUCUCGCUCAACGUACAGAACAGCAUCGCCAACCAAAGAAAUGACCUGCAUGGUGCACAGAAGACGGUGGAUGAUCCUCAUCUGCCUCAUCUUCCUCAUCCUGCUGGUGAUUGGAGUCUCCUUCGCUGUGUGUUUAGGUACAGCGUUUCUGUUUCCACUUCUAUUGUUAAUGCUCUGGUGUCCUUAACCAUAGUUCAUCCGUGUCUUUACCACAAUUGUAAAGGUGUGCGUAACUGGUGACAGUGAAGUCAGACGCAGGAGAGCAGAAACUAGGUAAUAGCCGGAGCAGUUUAAUUUCAAAACCAACGGCAUA